This 439-nucleotide ribosomal RNA is filed under the name uncultured bacterium. RNAcentral describes it as "bacterial SSU rRNA". It matches the Rfam family "Bacterial small subunit ribosomal RNA", at positions 340 to 773 of the family's 1533-position model. The record is from RNAcentral.
UACGGGAGGCAGCAGUGGGGAAUAUUGCACAAUGGGCGCAAGCCUGAUGCAGCCAUGCCGCGUGUAUGAAGAAGGCCUUCGGGUUGUAAAGUACUUUCAGUCGUGAGGAAGGUGUUAAGGUUAAUAACCUUAGCAAUUGACGUUAGCGACAGAAGAAGCACCGGCUAACUCCGUGCCAGCAGCCGCGGUAAUACGGAGGGUGCGAGCGUUAAUCGGAAUUACUGGGCGUAAAGGGCACGCAGGCGGUUAAUUAAGUUGGAUGUGAAAUCCCCGGGCUUAACCUGGGAAUGGCAUUCAAGACUGGUUAGCUAGAGUCUUGUAGAGGGGGUUAGAAUUCCAUGUGUAGCGGUGAAAUGCGUAGAGAUGUGGAGGAAUACCGGUGGCGAAGGCGGCCCCUGGACAAAGACUGACGCUCAUGUGCGAAAGCUGGGGAGCAAAC